Long non-coding RNA from Anas platyrhynchos (mallard), 3271 nucleotides. RefSeq lists it as uncharacterized. The record is from RefSeq and is a predicted model, not a curated record. Lineage: Eukaryota; Metazoa; Chordata; Aves; Anseriformes; Anatidae.
UCUGUCAGCUACAAACCACACGCCUCUCAGUGAGUGCGCUCGUGUGUGGGGAUUGUUUCUAAAUAAAACCGGCAGCAAGGGUUAUUUCCUCCUAAUGGCAUCAUUCUUAGAGUGCAGCUGGUUGUAAAUAAGCCUCUAGCUGAUGGUAUUUUUUUUUUAACUGCUGGCUUUUGCAUUGAGGUGGUAGGAUGUUGCGAGGUUAUCUAAUGGACUGUGCAGACAGCUUUAUUUCAGUCUGGACUGAAAUUUAUUUAACUUCUUGAAAACCUCAGGGGUUUUCACCUCCCUGAGAGCAGCAAACAAAACAUCCGGGUCUUUGCAAACCAGCCUGCCCUUUGAAACACGGAGCAUUGCCAGGUUCCUCGCUGUAUCUUUUGGCAGUCAGUUCCAUGCUCAAUAUUCCUGGGACAGCCAACGAGGUGAACUUCAGGGCCUGCAGGAGACCUUAAGGAGCAAUAGCUGGAGAUAAGCCGGUAUGAGUGGUGGCAGCCUUUCAGCUCCCGGCGAAGGACGAGGAUCUCCUGAUUGAUGGGGAUGGAGUUGAGGCUGUGGUCCAGCUGCCCGGCUGAGUUCACACACCUGGAGUAGCGGCACUCAGCAUCAGCAAUCACCUGGGGGAAGCGGUUGUGGUCCUCAUCGAUCCUGUGGAAGACAGGAUAUGGGCUUACCUUUUCUGAGAUCUGCUGGUGAUGUCAUUGCUUCAGCUAAGUCACUCAAGUAGUAACAAAAUUCCAUGUUGAUGUUAGAAAACCACUGAACUGUUGUCACGCACGCUGCAGCGAGUGGAUGCAAAGUAUGCAAUUUUGAACUCGGACUACAGUUGACAUCUACUCAAAUGCACAUCAACGUGCUUCACGGACUCAACUCGAGAUGCUCUAAGUAUCAAAAGCACCGCUGUCACCAGCACCGAUGGCUUGGAUCCAUGUGGUGCUUCACCAGUCUGGUGUCUUUUUAUUCUGAGGUCGGCAGAUGUAGGACAGCUGGUGCCCGUCCAGUUGCUCUCCACACUUAUCAUGCCCAAUCACCUGCUUUGAUGUCUGAAAACCCAGAUUUCUUCUCAAAUUUUAUUUUAUUUUUCUCAGUUUUCGCAGCCUGGAUCAGGUUAUAUUUGUUGAUGUAUGUACCUCACCUCUGAUAUGACAAAUUUGACCAAAAUGUAUUGUGACACUGAGUUUCCACAUUUGAUCAUUCUCCAUCUGAGAAGCAAAGCCCAAAACACUGUUUUCAGUUGCUUUUGAGAUUGCUGUAUUUUCAUUUCCCUUCAUGAUCUUGCGCUAUGCAACAGGGCUGUGAUCCUACGACCACAGUCUGGGAAAUGUGAAGGAUGUAAUUAAACCCUCAGAUCCCAGGUUAGGGUUCAAGAGAAACCUUGUGAAGGCUGUGAGAUGAAAACUGACCCUCUUGUAGGCAGGAAAAAGGGAAGAAACUGCAACCAUCUGCUCCACGGUGCAUUGUGGUAGAUAGGUGAUACCAUGCUACAAUAUUAGGAGCUAAAAUACCUCUCAUUGUGUAGCCCCACAACUGCCUGCAUCCCAUCCCUGUGUUCUGGGUGAUAUUGAUCACUGAUCAUGCUGUUUCUCCAUCCUACAAGACCAAUGUGUAGCAGCUGUACCCUACCCUGUUAGUAUUUAAACAUGCAAAGUUUAAAUCCCUGUGUUCAGGGGGACAGACUCCACUGACAUGGUGACAAGCAGGAUCCCUUUCUCCCAUCCAGGGGUUCGCGUUUUCCUAGAUUUUCACUAAGAUGCUGUCAGGGGAUUGCAGUCUUGGAGAUGUUGGGCUGCUUCAAGGUUGUCCCUCCUCUUGGCUUUGGGAAUUUACAAAGGGAAACCCUAAUACUUUAGUACCAGCUUCAGAGAGAGUCCUUUCCUGAGCUUCAUCACAGCUGCUGUGAUAGUAACUGCCUCUGUUUUUGUUUCUUUUUUAGGCAGAUGUCUUGAUGAGCUCUGAAUGCUCAUUAAAAGCAACGAGCUUGACCAAGUAAAAGCAAUGAGCUUGACCAAGAGACCCUUCCUGCAGAGAGGGAUGUCUGCGUUAACUCUCCUCAGCUUUUGGGGGAUUUAAAUUAACAGCUCUCUAGCAAAUAUUUUGGUCACUGGGAUGUGUGGGAUGCUCUGGGGCUGGGUGUUGCUGUGUGACCAUUCAAUAUCCUUGGGAAGAACAGUCCACCCAGAGUGCUGCAAAACCUGGUACAGAGAGAGAGAGAGGCUCAAAUCUGUCAGGAUGCAGUUUCCCAGGUAAUGAUGCUGAUCCAGAUGGACUGUAAGAUAGCAGAAAUCAGCUACAACCGUGUUCUCUGAUGAUGCUUUCAAUAAGCUGUCUGGAGAGUCAGUAAUGAGUGAACGCAAAAGUGUUGAUGCUGUUUGUAGGCUCAGUUUCAGAGAGAUUCUUGAAGAAAGGGCUUACAUCUCAGAAAGAAGAGGGAGAAUAUAUAACACUUUGCUUUAGGAAAUAUUUCUCAUUGAUUUGCUCUGAGAGUGGGUGACAAGUUGCUAGGAUGUGCACCUUACAGUAACACUUGGUGUAACAAACUCAAUGAUCUGACCCACUCCUCUUCUCAGCUCUAGUUUUCAUCCUGCUUGCAGAUGAAAACGUUGCAAAUUAUCUGUGCUUCAUAUUUACUCCUGAGUCUGAGUUUUCCCAGCUUGUGCAAUCCAAAGGAGGAUGCAAAUGAGAGUAAAAUUUACCUUGCAGUUUCUGGAAUAGCCAUGACCUAAAUCAGCUUGUUUAAAAGAUGCUGACGUUUGAAGAGUGACUUGUACAAUUCAGUUUCCCUCUUAGAGUUAGAGCAGUACAGGUUAACGGAAAAGGUUCCCUCAGAAGGGGUUUUCUCUAAUGCUCUUUACUGAAAUAUCCAUUCAAACUGGGUCAGUUAAAUUUGCAAUUUUAGAAGCAAGAAAGAUUUCAAAAGCCUGCAAGGUAGCGGAAGGUCAGGUUCAACCAGCCUGACCCUAAAUCCAGGCUUAUCUACUUUAAAUGUGUCAGUGGUUUGCAUUACCUCAGCACUUGAGAGGUGAAUAGUUAAGCAUUCAAACACAGCAGACGUAAUGCUCACUGAAAUGGUGAAAAACAAAAAUACAAAUAAAAACUUUCCAUGGUUUGUUCUGAGCCACGAAUGCACAAAUUUGCAAUUGUCAGAGGCAAGAUGAGAGGCUUUUAGGAAAAAAUACACAUCUUGAAAUGUUCUCAGCACGUCUGAAUUAUACAAAUGAAACUCUCACAUUUCUGAUUCUCAGCUUUUUUUUUUCAGGUUAAAACAAUUAUUUGCCAA